RNAcentral lists this long non-coding RNA (503 nucleotides) under Brachypodium distachyon (stiff brome). Its description in RNAcentral is "long non-coding RNA (BDIS_LNC003686)". The record is from RNAcentral. Lineage: Eukaryota; Viridiplantae; Streptophyta; Magnoliopsida; Poales; Poaceae.
UCCAUAUACAAUCCUACAUGGCGUCUCCACACCAAACGCAUGUCUUCUAAAUACGUUUCCCAUCAAUGUUUUAAAUUUUGAUAGCUGAAAUUUCAUAGGUCGCAGAAAUUUAGAUAAACUUCACAAAUCAUUAUUGUAUCAUGGUCAACUUCAUUGAAUUUACCCUAAAAAAAACUUCAUUCAAUUAAACAAAAAAUGGCUAAACUAAAAUUCAACAUUUAUGUUAUGUUUGAAUCUAGUUCAAAAUUUCGAGGUAGAAGAUUUGGGUACUGCCGAUAUUCUGAAUAAGACACACCAACUCAUGGACAACCGCAUCGAGUAGCACCACAUAGAUCUAACAUUUGGGACCACCUUAUUAGGAUAAAAAAAAACAUAAUAUUUCAGUUUGGUUAAAGUUCAUCGAAAUUUUACGGAACUUCAACAAAAUUGUUUUGUCAAAAAUUUAAACCAUGAUGGAAAGCAUAUUUAGGAGACACACCACGUGAAGUCACCUCGUAGGCUUG